Long non-coding RNA from Mesocricetus auratus (golden hamster), 501 nucleotides. RefSeq lists it as uncharacterized. The transcript is spliced from 2 exons. Lineage: Eukaryota; Metazoa; Chordata; Mammalia; Rodentia; Cricetidae. The record is from RefSeq and is a predicted model, not a curated record.
GUGAAGACUCCACAUGGUGUGGAAGUGUUUCCUCUCUUCCUCUUGUCUUCUUUCCCAAUCAAUCAAUCUUGAAGUCAUCAAAUGGGGUCAAGACAGGAAGACAUCCAUGUUAGAGAGAGCCUGGUGUGGGAACCACAGCCCCAACAUACUGAUGGGAGCUUUGAGCUCCAUGUAUCCUUCAGUAUACUCGAUCCAUUCGCAGAUAAGUACCAAUGGCUGAAAGUGACAGACAUUCCAUUUCUUCUUUAACUGGCAAGAAGAACUUUGUCUCCAGCUAUCCAGCCAGAGAGGAGCUCAAUCAAAUGAUGUUGGCUAGAGUUAAUAUUUACGACAGUCUUCUUCCCAGUCUUGAAUAACCAAAGGUCAUAUGUCAUCUCUCUUCAGUUAAAUCAGCCACACCAAGUCUCCUACCUAGAAAUAAACAUGACUCAGAGACUAACCUUCUGGGAAUUUUUACAUUCUACAAGUGUGUCGUAAAUUAAAGGAAAUAUUGAAACCUUA